GAUAAACGCUGGCGGCGUGCAUUAUGCAUGCAAGUCGAACGGUGCCCGCAAGGGUACAGUGGCAAACGGGUGAGUAACACAUAAGUAACCUGUCCUCGAGUGGGGAAUAACCCGCCGAAAGGCGGACUAAUACCGCAUACGAUAGCUUCUCACAAGUGAAGUUAUGAAAGCCGCAAGGCGCUGGAGGAGGGGCUUGUGCCCGAUUAGCUAGUUGGUGGGGUAACGGCCUACCAAGGCUCUGAUCGGUAGCUGGUCUGAGAGGAUGGUCAGCCACACUGGGACUGAGACACGGCCCAGACUCCUACGGGAGGCAG
Molecule: ribosomal RNA, 314 nt
Filed under: uncultured Chloroflexota bacterium
Lineage: Bacteria; Bacillati; Chloroflexota
Description: bacterial SSU rRNA
Rfam family: Bacterial small subunit ribosomal RNA
Source: RNAcentral